Molecule: ribosomal RNA, 523 nt
Filed under: uncultured bacterium
Lineage: Bacteria
Description: bacterial SSU rRNA
Rfam family: Bacterial small subunit ribosomal RNA
Source: RNAcentral
UGGGGAAUCUUAGACAAUGGGGGCAACCCUGAUCUAGCCAUGCCGCGUGAGUGAUGAAGGCCUUAGGGUUGUAAAGCUCUUUUACCCGGGAUGAUAAUGACAGUACCGGGAGAAUAAGCCCCGGCUAACUCCGUGCCAGCAGCCGCGGUAAUACGGAGGGGGCUAGCGUUGUUCGGAAAUACUGGGCGUAAAGCGAACGUAGGCGGCUUAGCAAGUCAGGGGUGAAAUCCCAGAGCUCAACUCUGGAACUGCCUUUGAAACUGCUUCGCUUGAAUCCUGGAGAGGCGAGUGGAAUUCCGAGUGUAGAGGUGAAAUUCGUAGAUAUUCGGAAGAACACCAGUGGCGAAGGCGACUCGCUGGACAGGUAUUGACGCUGAGGUUCGAAAGCGUGGGGAGCAAACAGGAUUAGAUACCCUGGUAGUCCACGCCGUAAACGAUGAGAACUAGCUGUCCGGGCACAUAGUGUUUGGGUGGCGCACUAACGCAUUAAGUUCUCCGCCUGGGGAGUACGGUCGCAAGAUUA